This 352-nucleotide unclassified non-coding RNA is filed under the name uncultured Archaeospora. RNAcentral's name for it is "sequence contains 28S rRNA gene". The record is from RNAcentral. Lineage: Eukaryota; Fungi; Glomeromycota; Glomeromycetes; Archaeosporales; Archaeosporaceae.
AGUAAAACAGUACGUGAAAUUGUUGAAAGGGAAACGAUUGAAGUCAGUCAUGCCGGCGUUGGAUUCAGCUUGCUUCGCGGAGCUUGCGCAUUUCCUCGCAUGGCAGGUCAGCGUCAGUUUUGCGCGGCGUGAAAAGGCUCGGGUAAGGUAGCUCUCUUCGGGGAGUGUUAUAGACCUGGGCAAAUGCGCAGCGCGGGACUGAGGAUUGCAGCGGACACCUCUUCGGGGGCGCGGCGACCGAACCCUGCUCGGCCACCCUCGUUCGAUAGCGUGCUAGCGGACGCGGGAGCGGCAGUGCACCGGAACAGGCAAGCCAGCGGUUCGCUUAGGAUGCUGACGUAAUGGCUUUAAA